GAAGUAUUUCUCAUUUGUUUUAACAAAUUUUCAUAGUUUUUCAAAUAUUUUCAGAAUGUUUUAGUGUAAAUAUUGUGGUUACAAAGUGUUACAAUGGUAUUAGAUAUAAAUUAUUGAGGUAUUUUGUAUAUAGGUGUGUUAAAUUGAGUGUGUUUGGGGGACGCCAAACAAAUUUCUCAAGAUGAAAUUCAGAAUUCAUGUAUUGUUUACAAGUGGUGGAUCAUGAAAUGUUUAACAAUAUGGCGUAUGAUAAACACAUGAACACAUGAAAAGGUAUUCCAAUAAGAUAUUGGAGUAAAAACAUCAAUAAAAAAUAUAAUGGAAGAAAAAAUCCACCAAGGAGACAUAUACAAAAGAAAAAAGCAAUUAUAAGAACGGAAAUUCCCCCAUCCCUUGAGUGGAAUACAAGGAAACAAAUUGGAUUAAAGUGUCAAAGGUGAAAUAAAAAAUUCGCAUAUUGUUUAUCUUUACGAUAUCUGUGAAGCGUCAAGUCGCUGAAGCGAUACGCGUAAAUGAAUUUUGAUUCGGGAAAAUCGACCUUCUAUUCAUACAACCUCAUCGUUGAACGUAUGAAAUUCCUAUGGAUAAUUCGCUCUAGCGAUACUCAUAUUUGCAUUUAAAAUGGUACCUACGCAGGAUAGAUGGAUCCAAUUCCAAAUUAUGUCUAUCUUGGGAAUUAACUUUGGGACGGGGAUUCCUGUUUAUCCAAAAAAGUGUGGAGCAAAAGGGAGCCGAGUUAUUUCGAAAUUAUGAUUCCGAAUGCGUCCAAUGCGUUCACGCCUCGUUCCACAGUACAGACGUAAAAAAACCAGGGAGCAAAGAGGACCCUUCAAGUGAACUAGUGAUUACAAACUCAUUUCCCUUUAAUAAAGGAGCAUUUAAGAAAUUCGGCCCCGAGCAAUAUUCGCUCUGCAAUUUCGGAACCCGUUUAGAAAUUAUAGAGGCAAAAGCAGGCGUAUGGUUAGAUACGGCAACCAAAGUAUAUAAAGAAUUCAGCAAGAAGUAUAUUAUAAGAGAUUAUUUAAAUAUGGACAUACCUGCAAUGGCCAUCCAUGGGUAAAAGGUGUGGUUGGUGGGUUGAUGUUGGACUGGUUGAGCUGCUGCUGCUGACCCUGGGAUUCAGUAUCGGACAUGUGGUCGAGCGAAGUUUGCAGUCGCGAUUGCAAGAGCGCGCCACUGUGUGUAGUGCGACCGGCGCGGCGCGACUCACGCAAUGUACUGAGAGCCGCUACGGGAACACGCGCGCCGCCCCG
Pieris brassicae (large cabbage white) is the source of this 1253-nucleotide RNA transcript. RefSeq lists it as uncharacterized. The transcript is spliced from 6 exons. NCBI's taxonomy places the organism in Eukaryota, Metazoa, Arthropoda, Insecta, Lepidoptera, Pieridae. The record is from RefSeq and is a predicted model, not a curated record.